Molecule: ribosomal RNA, 537 nt
Filed under: uncultured bacterium
Lineage: Bacteria
Description: bacterial SSU rRNA
Rfam family: Bacterial small subunit ribosomal RNA
Source: RNAcentral
AGUAAAUAGAUACCCCGGUAGUCCACGCCGUAAACGAUGUCGACUUGGAGGUUGUGCCCUUGAGGCGUGGCUUCCGGAGCUAAACGCGUUAAAGUCGACCGCCUGGGGAGUACGGCCGCAAGGUUAAAACUCAAAUGAAUUGACGGGGGCCCGCACAAGCGGUGGAGCAUGUGGUUUAAUUCGAUGCAACGCGAAGAACCUUACCUACUCUUGACAUCCAGAGAACUUUCCAGAGAUGGAUUGGUGCCUUCGGGAACUCUGAGACAGGUGCUGCAUGGCUGUCGUCAGCUCGUGUUGUGAAAUGUUGGGUUAAGUCCCGCAACGAGCGCAACCCUUAUCUUUUGUUGCCAGCGGUUAGGCCGGGAACUCAAAGGAGACUGCCAGUGAUAAACUGGAGGAAGGUGGGGAUGACGUCAAGUCAUCAUGGCCCUUACGAGUAGGGCUACACACGUGCUACAAUGGCGCAUACAAAGAGAAGCGACCUCGCGAGAGCAAGCGGACCUCAUAAAGUGCGUCGUAGUCCGGAUUGGAGUCUGC